Molecule: ribosomal RNA, 467 nt
Filed under: uncultured bacterium
Lineage: Bacteria
Description: partial 16S ribosomal RNA
Rfam family: Bacterial small subunit ribosomal RNA
Source: RNAcentral
GAUGAACGCUGGCGGCGUGCUUAACACAUGCAAGUCGAACGGAAAGGCCCAAGCUUGCUUGGGUACUCGAGUGGCGAACGGGUGAGUAACACGUGGGUGAUCUGCCCUGCACUUCGGGAUAAGCCUGGGAAACUAGGUCUAAUACCGGAUAGGACCACUUCUUGGAUGUUGUGGUGGAAAGUUUUUUCGGUGUGGGAUGAGCUCGCGGCCUAUCAGCUUGUUGGUGGGGUAAUGGCCUACCAAGGCGUCGACGGGUAGCCGGCCUGAGAGGGUGUACGGCCACAUUGGGACUGAGAUACGGCCCAGACUCCUACGGGAGGCAGCAGUGGGGAAUAUUGCACAAUGGGCGCAAGCCUGAUGCAGCGACGCCGCGUGGGGGAUGACGGCCUUCGGGUUGUAAACUCCUUUCGCUAGGGACGAAGCGUUUUGUGACGGUACCUGGAGAAGAAGCACCGGCUAACUACGUG